GAUGAACGCUGGCGGCGUGCCUAAUACAUGCAAGUCGAGCGAACAGACGAGGAGCUUGCUCCUCUGACGUUAGCGGCGGACGGGUGAGUAACACGUGGAUAACCUACCUAUAAGACUGGGAUAACUUCGGGAAACCGGAGCUAAUACCGGAUAAUAUAUUGAACCGCAUGGUUCAAUAGUGAAAGACGGUUUUGCUGUCACUUAUAGAUGGAUCCGCGCCGCAUUAGCUAGUUGGUAAGGUAACGGCUUACCAAGGCAACGAUGCGUAGCCGACCUGAGAGGGGGACGCCCCACCUUGGAACUGGGACCGGGCCCGGCCCCCGCCGGGGGGCGCAGUUGGGAAUUCUCCCGCAAGGGGCGAAAUCUUGACGGCCACACCCCGGGGGGUGGAAAAAGUUUUUCGUAUCUAAAAUCUUUUUAAUGGGGAAAAAAAAAAUGUGAAAUAAACUAGCCCCUUCUGCACGUCCCCAAAUAAGAAACCCCGGCCUAACCCCGUC
RNAcentral lists this ribosomal RNA (497 nucleotides) under uncultured bacterium. Its description in RNAcentral is "partial 16S ribosomal RNA". It matches the Rfam family "Bacterial small subunit ribosomal RNA", at positions 28 to 507 of the family's 1533-position model. The record is from RNAcentral.